GCGGCGGUGGUGUAAAGGCGUAGAGCAUUCCCGCCCGGUCAGAGGGAGGUGCGGGUUCGAGUCCCGCCUGGCGCU
This is a non-coding RNA of Heligmosomoides polygyrus, 75 nucleotides long. Lineage: Eukaryota; Metazoa; Nematoda; Chromadorea; Rhabditida; Heligmosomidae. The record is from Rfam.